GACGCAUUCUGGCGGCGUGCUUAACACAUGCAAGUCGAACGGAAAGGCCCUGCUUUUGUGGGGUGCUCGAGUGGCGAACGGGUGAGUAACACGUGAGUAACCUGCCCUUGACUUUGGGAUAACUUCAGGAAACUGGGGCUAAUACCGGAUAGGAGCUCCUGCUGCAUGGUGGGGGUUGGAAAGUUUCGGCGGUUGGGGAUGGACUCGCGGCUUAUCAGCUUGUUGGUGGGGUAGUGGCUUACCAAGGCUUUGACGGGUAGCCGGCCUGAGAGGGUGACCGGCCACAUUGGGACUGAGAUACGGCCCAGACUCCUACGGGAGGCAGCAGUGGGGAAUAUUGCACAAUGGGCGGAAGCCUGAUGCAGCAACGCCGCGUGCGGGAUGACGGCCUUCGGGUUGUAAACCGCUUUCGCCUGUGACGAAGCGUGAGUGACGGUAAUGGGUAAAGAAGCACCGGCUAACUACGUGCCAGCAGCCGCGGUGAUACGUAGGGUGCGAGCGUUGUCCGGAUUUAUUGGGCGUAAAGGGCUCGUAGGUGGUUGAUCGCGUCGGAAGUGUAAUCUUGGGGCUUAACCCUGAGCGUGCUUUCGAUACGGGUUGACUUGAGGAAGGUAGGGGAGAAUGGAAUUCCUGGUGGAGCGGUGGAAUGCGCAGAUAUCAGGAGGAACACCAGUGGCGAAGGCGGUUCUCUGGGCCUUUCCUGACGCUGAGGAGCGAAAGCGUGGGGAGCGAACAGGCUUAGAUACCCUGGUAGUCCACGCUGUAAACGGUGGGUACUAGGUGUGGGGUCCAUUCCACGGGUUCCGUGCCGUAGCUAACGCUUUAAGUACCCCGCCUGGGGAGUACGGCCGCAAGGCUAAAACUCAAAGGAAUUGACGGGGCCCCGCACGAGCGGCGGAGCAUGCGGAUUAAUUCGAUGCAACGCGUAGAACCUUACCUGGGUUUGACAUGGAUCGGGAGUGCUCAGAGAUGGGUGUGCCUCUUUUGGGGUCGGUUCACAGGUGGUGCAUGGCUGUCGUCAGCUCGUGUCGUGAGAUGUUGGGUUAAGUCCCGCAACGAGCGCAACCCUUGUUCACUGUUGCCAGCACGUUAUGGUGGGGACUCAGUGGAGACCGCCGGGGUCAACUCGGAGGAAGGUGGGGAUGACGUCAAGUCAUCAUGCCCCUUAUGUCCAGGGCUUCACGCAUGCUACAAUGGCUGGUACAGAGAGUGGCGAGCCUGUGAGGGUGAGCGAAUCUCGGAAAGCCGGUCUCAGUUCGGAUUGGGGUCUGCAACUCGACCUCAUGAAGUCGGAGUCGCUAGUAAUAGCAGAUCAGCAACGCUGCGGUGAAUACGUUCCCGGGGCU
RNAcentral lists this ribosomal RNA (1346 nucleotides) under uncultured bacterium. RNAcentral's name for it is "partial 16S ribosomal RNA". It matches the Rfam family "Bacterial small subunit ribosomal RNA", at positions 28 to 1381 of the family's 1533-position model. The record is from RNAcentral.